CAAAAAAUAGUUUAUAAAGAAUACUAAUCUUGGAGAUUAGAGGAAAUUAGAAUUAAUUUUUUUUGA
RNAcentral lists this transfer RNA (66 nucleotides) under Evania appendigaster. Its description in RNAcentral is "tRNA-Pro". Lineage: Eukaryota; Metazoa; Arthropoda; Insecta; Hymenoptera; Evaniidae. The record is from RNAcentral.